Oncorhynchus tshawytscha (Chinook salmon) is the source of this 921-nucleotide long non-coding RNA. The record is from Ensembl. Lineage: Eukaryota; Metazoa; Chordata; Actinopteri; Salmoniformes; Salmonidae.
UAAAGGUGAAAUAAAUAAAAUAAAUAAAAAUUGAGAUAGAAUGUUUCAUAUUAGGUUACAAUACAGAAUGUCACCUUUUAUUUAAAACUAUUCAUACAUAUAUAUUUUACCGUUUAGUCUUAAUUGUACAAACUAAUUUAGUCAAAAGUUGAGUGUUUGGUCCCAUAUUCCAUUCCUGCAGUGAUUACAUCACACUUGUGUGAUUUACAUCACAAGCUUGUGAUUCUACUAACUUGUUGAAUUAAUUUGCAGUUUGUCUUGGUUGUGUUUUAGAUUAUAUUUUUCCUAAUAGAAACUGAAUGGUGAAUAAUGUCCUAUCAUUUUGGAGUCACUUCAUUUGUAUUGUCAGUAAGAAUAGAAGAUGUUUCUGAACACUUCUACAUUCAUGUGGAUGCUACCAUGAUUAUGAAUAAUAAUGAAUGAAUCAAGAAUGAUGAUGAAUGAGAAAGUUACAGAGGCACAAAGAUCAGACCCCCUCUGUUAUUGGUAAUGGUGAGAGGUUAGCAUGUUUUGUUGUAGUCUCUGUUAUUGGUAAUGGUGAGAGGUUAGCAUGUUUUGUUGUAGCCUCUGUUAUUGGUAAUGGUGAGAGGUUAGCAUGUUUUGUUGUAGUCUCUGUAACUUUCUCAUUCAUUAUUAUUCAUGAUUGAUUUAUGAUUUGUAUUAAUUCUGACAUCAUCAAUAUUAAUUUAUGAUUGUUUAGAAACAUGUUAUCUACUCUAGAGCUUUCGGCGCCGGCGCCGACAGAGAUGGCCGCCUCGCUUCGCGUUCCUAGGAAACUAUGCAGUUUUUUGUUUUCUUACGUGUUAUUUCUUACACUAGUACCCCAGGUCAUCUUAGGUUUCAUUACAUACAGCCGAGAAGAACUACUGAAUAUAAGAUCAGCGUCAACUCACCAUCAGUACGACCAAGAAUAUGUUUUUC